UGCCAGCCGCCGCGGUAAUACGGAGGGGGUUAGCGUUGUUCGGAAUUACUGGGCGUAAAGCGCACGUAGGCGGAUUAGAAAGUUGGGGGUGAAAUCCCAGGGCUCAACCCUGGAACUGCCUCCAAAACUACUAGUCUUGAGUUCGAGAGAGGUGAGUGGAAUUCCGAGUGUAGAGGUGAAAUUCGUAGAUAUUCGGAGGAACACCAGUGGCGAAGGCGAGUACCUGGCCAAAGAUUGACGCUCAUGUGCGAAAGCGUGGGGAGCAAACAGGAUUAGAUA
This 279-nucleotide ribosomal RNA is filed under the name uncultured bacterium. Its description in RNAcentral is "partial 16S ribosomal RNA". It matches the Rfam family "Bacterial small subunit ribosomal RNA", at positions 506 to 784 of the family's 1533-position model. The record is from RNAcentral.